CAGCAGCCACGGGAAUACGUAGGUGGCAAGCGUUGUCCGGAAUUACUGGGCGUAAAGCGGGCGCAGACGGUUACUUAAGCAGGAUGUGAAAUCCCCGGGCUCAACCUGGGAACUGCGUUCUGAACUGGGUGACUAGAGUGUGUCAGAGGGAGGUAGAAUUCCGCGUGUAGCAGUGAAAUGCGUAGAGAUGUGGAGGAAUACCGAUGGCGAAGGCAGCCUCCUGGGAUAACACUGACGUUCAUGCCCGAAAGCGUGGGUAGCAAACAGGAUUAGAUACCCCAGUAGUCCCUGUCUCUUAUAC
RNAcentral lists this ribosomal RNA (301 nucleotides) under uncultured bacterium. RNAcentral describes it as "partial 16S ribosomal RNA". It matches the Rfam family "Bacterial small subunit ribosomal RNA", at positions 509 to 807 of the family's 1533-position model. The record is from RNAcentral.